GGGACUAUGCCAGAAGGUACCGACAGGAGGGAAGGUAUGCCUUUCUAUUUGGGGGCCUUCUUGGCGGUGGCUCUUGAAUGGCGCUCCCAGGCCAGAAACGCUGUCUUGCAAGCUCAAACUCUCCAGGCCUUGGAAACGAAAGCAACCACCCUGGAAGAGGAGAUGAAGGCCCUGGGACGCCAGAACGAGGCUUAUUGUUCCUCUCUGAAACAAGCACAAGAGUCCAGGGCAGAAGCUGAGAGGAAACUGGCAGAGGCCUUGGAGCUCCA
This 269-nucleotide long non-coding RNA is filed under the name Phaseolus vulgaris (common bean). RNAcentral describes it as "long non-coding RNA (PVUL_LNC005041)". The record is from RNAcentral. Lineage: Eukaryota; Viridiplantae; Streptophyta; Magnoliopsida; Fabales; Fabaceae.